Molecule: ribosomal RNA, 458 nt
Filed under: uncultured beta proteobacterium
Lineage: Bacteria; Pseudomonadati; Pseudomonadota; Betaproteobacteria
Description: bacterial SSU rRNA
Rfam family: Bacterial small subunit ribosomal RNA
Source: RNAcentral
AGGCUGCAGUGGGGAAUUUUGGACAAUGGGCGAAAGCCUGAUCCAGCCAUGCCGCGUGCGGGAAGAAGGCCUUCGGGUUGUAAACCGCUUUAGUCUAGGAAAAAGGGGUGCGAGGUUAAUACCCUCGUGCUUUGAUGGUACUGGAAGAAUAAGCACCGGCUAACUACGUGCCAGCAGCCGCGGUAAUACGUAGGGUGCGAGCGUUAAUCGGAAUUACUGGGCGUAAAGCGUGCGCAGGCGGUCUUGUAAGACAGUCGUGAAAGCCCCGGGCUUAACCUGGGAACUGCGAUUGUGACUGCAAGGCUAGAGUGUGUCAGAGGGGGGUGGAAUUCCACGUGUAGCAGUGAAAUGCGUAGAGAUGUGGAGGAACACCGAUGGCGAAGGCAGCCCCCUGGGAUAACACUGACGCUCAUGCACGAAAGCGUGGGGAGCAAACAGGAUUAGAUACCCGGGUAGUC